GGGAUAGCUUUUGAAGAUGUGUGACACUGAUGUACUUGAUGGACAGGAUGGAGUUGGCUGAGGCCUUGGGGCACCAAGAUGGAGAUUGUUGGGCUUCAUGUGGUGCUCUCAAUGCUUAGGGGAUCAAGGCUAAGGCCAUGGUCCAAAGUCCAUGAGGUGUUCAUGGGAUUUUUAGGAUUAGUUUGGGUCCUAGGAUGAAAGGCUGUCAACCUUUCAGAUAUUGAAGUUCAGGACACUUGAGCCUCAAGGAGCUAACUUGUUUUGGACUAGAUUUAAGUCCUAGGUAGAUGAGAUUUGUUCAAAUCAUGGGUGUAAAUGGGUUUGGGUUAGCACAAAUCUCAUAUCAAGUUAGUCAAGGAAGUUUUGUGGUUGGAUCACAUUGAUCUUGUAUAAAUACCUUGGUAUUUAGGUUUUGUAUGA
Molecule: long non-coding RNA, 420 nt
Filed under: Elaeis guineensis (African oil palm)
Lineage: Eukaryota; Viridiplantae; Streptophyta; Magnoliopsida; Arecales; Arecaceae
Description: long non-coding RNA (EGUI_LNC050741)
Source: RNAcentral